Long non-coding RNA from Pezoporus flaviventris, 1915 nucleotides. RefSeq lists it as uncharacterized. The transcript has 2 exons. Lineage: Eukaryota; Metazoa; Chordata; Aves; Psittaciformes; Psittacidae. The record is from RefSeq and is a predicted model, not a curated record.
ACAGGAGGUCCUCCCUAGCACAGCCCCCAGCCCGGCUGGAAAACUCCUAAGUGGUGAGGCUGGCCUAAUUAGUCUGCUUAAUUUUCCCCCAUAAAUCACUUCUCCUUGCCCCCUGCAGACUAUCGGCAGCAUCUGAAGUCAUUAGUUAAUUUAAAUCUGGGAGUUCACACGCUGGCUUAUCAGGAGCUAUCUCUGUUCCCGCUAAGCGCUUGCUCAGUGCCUUCUCUGGCUCCUAGAUCCUAUCUGCGCCUGCUUUGAAGCGAUGAUGGGCUGCCGAGCAGGCGAGGCACGCUGCCUGCUUCCCUGCCUGCUGGCAGGUGGGAGGGGAGAUGGAUCCUGCUUCACCCCCUCCCUGUGCUCCCCUUUUUGAACUUCUCCUCUGACUCAUCCAUUUCAUUUAUGUUUCCACCUUCGUUUCACGCGUAGCAAUUUGCCAGAGCGCUGGAAGGAGAAGGUGGCUCCAGUGAUGCUGCUGCAGCUUCCCCAGCUGCAAGGGGAGAUGCCCGGGUCCCAUGGGUGGGCUGGCAGCCAGGCUGAUGCUCCAUUCUGCUGUGGCUGGAAGACAUGGGCUCCCGAUUAAAGGAUAUUUCAACCAGACGGAGGGGCUGCGUCUGCCGGGGAACGUGCAGCAGGAGGGGACGGAGACAGGACGCGUGAGAGACGAGAGGAGAAAGCAAUUUACGCUGGAAUGUAAAUACGGCAGAGGCACGCUGCGCCGCGGGGCGCGUCGCUCCCUCCUGGCCCUGGGACCAGCGUGAGAGCUUGCCUGCGACAGCUCAGACCUCUUCCGUCCUUGCCACCGCACGGGAGAGCCCACGUUUCGCCUGGGCACUGCGCAGAAGUGAGGAGAAGGAGGAGGGUUAGAGCCUGUUGCAGCAAGCCAGUCCCACCGCUGCUGCUCCUGCUUUCCACAGUGAGGGACCACAGGUCGCAUGUCCACUGGCAGAGGGAUGGAGUCUCAGCCAUCCCCUAAUAAUCCUAAGAAUCAAUAGCAGUGUCUCUAGGCCCCCUGAAUGUGCAGAACAGCUCAGAAUUAAGAGGAGAACUUGUUAGCAGGAUUAACUCUGAAACCUAGUGACAACACUUUAAGUAUCUGUGCUAUCUAUAUCCCUGCUGCUCAUUCUAGCAGCCAGCUCUUCCUGAUGAGCUUUACUUAAAUGCACUAGGUUUGUCCUGUAAGAGCAAUCUCUGUGGAUAAAGAGGUGAGGUUUAAAGAUGUAAAUAUUCUGUGAGAUACACCAAUUUAAAUGUCUUUUGUUGUUCCUUAGCCCGGUGUCCAGGGAUAAGUGUCUAAGGAAGCAAGGAAAGAUCCUCUAGAUUGUGAGACAGACAAACUUUAUUAAAAGAAAAGACCAAAUAAAAUAAAAAUACAAUUAUUUUAUUUUUUUCCUUAAAAAAUACUGAAUUUGUAGAAGUUUCCUUCUGCUCACCCUGGGCAGUGUGAGCCCAGCUGGGGAGCAGGUCAGGUUCAUCUACUCCUCUCCCGUUGCAGAGCAUCGCUGGGGGAAGCCAUGCCCUCGUUGGCAGAUGUCAGAAGCAGCGGCACAAGGUGAACCCCAGCCAGCCCCCUCACUACUCAGGGCAGAGGGUUCGUGGCAGGUGACAAAGAGCCUCAAACAAGUCCCUAGAACACCCAGCUCAGGCUCGCAAUGGGCUCUUCUUCUGCCCCAAGGCUGGACCCCAAUGCAAGGAUCUGAGCUCAACGCAGAUGUUGGGAGAAUUCACACCCCAAGGCAGGUUGGUUUGGGGUUGUUUUUUUUUUUUACUCUUCCACAUGGCUUUUUUUUUUUUUUUUUUUCUUUUUGAGGCAGGAGUAAUAACUGCUAAAGAUGCAUAUGGAAUUUGAAUAUGAAUGAUAAGAACAGCUGUGUAUAUCUAUUAUGAAUGAAUAUAAACAGAAAUGUAUAAACUGAGA